CAGGCGUGACUCACACAAGCCGGGUGCGC
This 29-nucleotide small RNA is filed under the name Bombyx mori (domestic silkworm). RNAcentral's name for it is "ovarian small RNA-13301". The record is from RNAcentral. Lineage: Eukaryota; Metazoa; Arthropoda; Insecta; Lepidoptera; Bombycidae.